CCUCGGUGAACAUUCAACGCUGUCGGUGAGUUUUGGUAUGGAUCACAUAGAAACCAUCGACCGUUGACUGUGCCCCGAGG
Molecule: non-coding RNA, 80 nt
Organism: Gasterosteus aculeatus (three-spined stickleback)
Lineage: Eukaryota; Metazoa; Chordata; Actinopteri; Perciformes; Gasterosteidae
Source: Rfam